AUCCUUUUGUAGUUCAUGAGAUGAUGAUUGGGUGUUCACACGCAUGUGUGAAAUGUGCCACCCUCAACCUUAUUAUGAGGUCGGCACAUUACCCGUCUGACA
Small nucleolar RNA from Macaca fascicularis (crab-eating macaque), 102 nucleotides. The record is from Ensembl. Lineage: Eukaryota; Metazoa; Chordata; Mammalia; Primates; Cercopithecidae.